UGGGGAAUUUUGGACAAUGGGGGCAACCCUGAUCCAGCCAUGCCGCGUGUGUGAAGAAGGCCUUCGGGUUGUAAAGCACUUUCGGACGGAACGAAAUCGCACGGGUGAAUAUCCCGUGUGGAUGACGGUACUGUAAGAAGAAGCACCGGCUAACUACGUGCCAGCAGCCGCGGUAAUACGUAGGGUGCGAGCGUUAAUCGGAAUUACUGGGCGUAAAGCGUGCGCAGGCGGCUUCGCAAGUCAGGCGUGAAAUCCCCGGGCUUAACCUGGGAAUGGCGUCUGAAACUACGGAGCUGGAGUGUGGCAGAGGGAGGUAGAAUUCCACGUGUAGCGGUGAAAUGCGUAGAUAUGUGGAGGAAUACCGAUGGCGAAGGCAGCCUCCUGGGCCAACACCGACGCUCAUGCACGAAAGCGUGGGGAGCAAACAG
RNAcentral lists this ribosomal RNA (428 nucleotides) under uncultured bacterium. RNAcentral describes it as "bacterial SSU rRNA". It matches the Rfam family "Bacterial small subunit ribosomal RNA", at positions 355 to 775 of the family's 1533-position model. The record is from RNAcentral.